CAGAAAGAUAAAACGGAAUCCAUUUAUAAAAUUAAAUCUAAGAAAAUAUUUUGUGUGUGCUUACAAGAAAGCAAAAAGAACUAAGGUAUGGACUCAUUAGGCUUCCGUACUAAACACCUGCGAGUCGCAACAGAAAAUCACGCAGGUGUGUGAAGAUGCAAGAAAACUAGUUUCUGAAGGAGACGUAUAGAUACAGUGACGAUUCAGAUGAAGACCCUAACACUGGACUGCACCUGUGCCCAUGCCGAGUCUCAGGCCUCCGAGUGAGUGACUGGCUAGACGAUCCCGGUCCCAAACGGAAUGAGGGCACUGAUUUGCUGAGUUUCUUCAUGUGCUCUGGAUCUGCGGUGGAGAAGGAAGUCUGGAGAUGUGUGCUAGAGGCUUAAAUAAGAAAACAAGAGGGAUUCAUGUGCAAAUCUGUUGCCAGAUUACCAGAAUAAUGUCUUAAAAUGUAACUAAAGCAGCAUAUAAACAUAUGAGACAUAUGAACAUAUGAACAUAUUCAGUUUGAGACUUGCCAUCAUAGUUGUCAUGCAUGUAGUCGUCUGUUUGCUUUAGUUUUUGGUCUUGUCCUUAGGGAAGAGAAUACAAUGACAACACAUGGGGAAAGUAGGACAGAUGCUUUUGUCACCUGAACUCUCCAUGGACCAAAACAAUAAGGUGCUUUACUCUCGAAGAACCAUUGUGAUGAACAUGCCAUAGGCCACAUCACACAGCAAUAGCAGCACUUGGUUAGAUGUUGCCAGAUAAGUGUAUUA
Molecule: long non-coding RNA, 758 nt
Filed under: Danio rerio (zebrafish)
Lineage: Eukaryota; Metazoa; Chordata; Actinopteri; Cypriniformes; Danionidae
Description: si:dkey-4p15.7 (ENSDARG00000096521.3)
Source: RNAcentral